Molecule: ribosomal RNA, 1437 nt
Filed under: uncultured organism
Description: 16S ribosomal RNA
Rfam family: Bacterial small subunit ribosomal RNA
Source: RNAcentral
UGAACGCUAGCUACAGGCUUAACACAUGCAAGUCGAGGGGCAGCAUUUCAGUUUGCUUGCAAACUGGAGAUGGCGACCGGCGCACGGGUGAGUAACACGUAUCCAACCUGCCGAUAACUCGGGGAUAGCCUUUCGAAAGAAAGAUUAAUACCCGAUGGUAUAAUCAGACCGCAUGGUCUUGUUAUUAAAGAAUUUCGGUUAUCGAUGGGGAUGCGUUCCAUUAGGCAGUUGGUGAGGUAGCGGCUCACCAAACCUUCGAUGGAUAGGGGUUCUGAGAGGAAGGUCCCCCACAUUGGAACUGAGACACGGUCCAAACUCCUACGGGAGGCAGCAGUGAGGAAUAUUGGUCAAUGGGCGCAGGCCUGAACCAGCCAAGUAGCGUGAAGGAUGACUGCCCUAUGGGUUGUAAACUUCUUUUAUAUGGGAAUAAAGUUUUCCACGUGUGGAAUUUUGUAUGUACCAUAUGAAUAAGGAUCGGCUAACUCCGUGCCAGCAGCCGCGGUAAUACGGAGGAUCCGAGCGUUAUCCGGAUUUAUUGGGUUUAAAGGGAGCGUAGGUGGACAGUUAAGUCAGUUGUGAAAGUUUGCGGCUCAACCGUAAAAUUGCAGUUGAUACUGGCUGUCUUGAGUACAGUAGAGGUGGGCGGAAUUCGUGGUGUAGCGGUGAAAUGCUUAGAUAUCACGAAGAACUCCGAUUGCGAAGGCAGCUCACUGGACUGCAACUGACACUGAUGCUCGAAAGUGUGGGUAUCAAACAGGAUUAGAUACCCUGGUAGUCCACACAGUAAACGAUGAAUACUCGCUGUUUGCGAUAUACAGUAAGCGGCCAAGCGAAAGCAUUAAGUAUUCCACCUGGGGAGUACGCCGGCAACGGUGAAACUCAAAGGAAUUGACGGGGGCCCGCACAAGCGGAGGAACAUGUGGUUUAAUUCGAUGAUACGCGAGGAACCUUACCCGGGCUUAAAUUGCAUUUGAAUAAUCUGGAAACAGGUUAGCCGCAAGGCAAAUGUGAAGGUGCUGCAUGGUUGUCGUCAGCUCGUGCCGUGAGGUGUCGGCUUAAGUGCCAUAACGAGCGCAACCCUUAUCUUUAGUUACUAACAGGUCAUGCUGAGGACUCUAGAGAGACUGCCGUCGUAAGAUGUGAGGAAGGUGGGGAUGACGUCAAAUCAGCACGGCCCUUACGUCCGGGGCUACACACGUGUUACAAUGGGGGGUACAGAAGGCAGCUACCUGGUGACAGGAUGCUAAUCCCAAAAGCCUCUCUCAGUUCGGAUCGAAGUCUGCAACCCGACUUCGUGAAGCUGGAUUCGCUAGUAAUCGCGCAUCAGCCAUGGCGCGGUGAAUACGUUCCCGGGCCUUGUACACACCGCCCGUCAAGCCAUGAAAGCCGGGGGUACCUAAAGUACGUAACCGCUAGGAGCGUCCUAGGGUAAAACUG